GACGAACGCUGGCGGCGGGCUUAACACAUGCAAGUCGAACGGAAAGGCCCUGCUUUUGUGUGGUUCUCGCGUGGCGAACGUGUGAGUUACAUGUGAGUCACCUUCCCUGUGCUUUGUGAUAACUUGAGGAGACUGGUGCUAAUACCUGAUACGUGCUCCUGCUGCAUGGGGGUGUUUGGAACGUUUCGGCGGUUGGGGAUGGACUCGCGGCUUAUUAGCUUGUUGGUUGGGUAGUGGCUUACCAAGGGUUUGAUGGGUAGCCGGCAUGAGAGGGUGAACGGCCACAUUGGGACUGAGAUACGGACCAGAGUCCUACGGGAGGCAGCAGUGGGGAAUAUUGCACAAUGGGCGGAAGCCUGAUGCAGAAACGCCGCGUGCGGGAUGAAGGCCUUCGGGUGGUAAACCGCUUUAGGUUGUGACGAAGCGUGAGUGACGGUAAUGGGUAAAGAAGCACCGGCUAACUACGUG
RNAcentral lists this ribosomal RNA (468 nucleotides) under uncultured bacterium. Its description in RNAcentral is "partial 16S ribosomal RNA". It matches the Rfam family "Bacterial small subunit ribosomal RNA", at positions 28 to 507 of the family's 1533-position model. The record is from RNAcentral.